ACGGGUGAGUAACGCGUGGGAAUCUACCCAUCCCUACGGAAUAACGCAUGGAAACGUGUGCUAAUACCGUAUACGCCCUACGGGGGAAAGAUUUAUCGGGGAUGGAUGAGCCCGCGUUGGAUUAGCUAGUUGGUGGGGUAAAGGCCUACCAAGGCGACGAUCCAUAGCUGGUCUGAGAGGAUGAUCAGCCACAUUGGGACUGAGACACGGCCCAAACUCCUACGGGAGGCAGCAGUGGGGAAUAUUGGACAAUGGGCGCAAGCCUGAUCCAGCCAUGCCGCGUGAGUGAUGAAGGCCUUAGGGUUGUAAAGCUCUUUCACCGGAGAAGAUAAUGACGGUAUCCGGAGAAGAAGCCCCGGCUAACUUCGUGCCAGCAGCCGCGGUAAUACGAAGGGGGCUAGCGUUGUUCGGAAUUACUGGGCGUAAAGCGCACGUAGGCGGACUUUUAAGUCAGGGGUGAAAUCCCGGGGCUCAACCUCGGAACUGCCUUUGAUACUGGAAGUCUGGAGUAUGGAAGAGGUAAGUGGAAUUCCGAGU
RNAcentral lists this ribosomal RNA (537 nucleotides) under uncultured bacterium. RNAcentral describes it as "bacterial SSU rRNA". It matches the Rfam family "Bacterial small subunit ribosomal RNA", at positions 102 to 674 of the family's 1533-position model. The record is from RNAcentral.